GAUGAAGAACGCAGCGAAAUGCGAUAAGUAAUGUGAAUUGCAGAAUUCAGUGAAUCAUCGAAUCUUUGAACGCACCUUGCGCCCUUUGGCUAUUCCGAAGGGCAUGCCUGUUUGAGUAUCGUGAACACCUCAACUCUCAUGGUUUGCCACGAUGAGCUUGGACUUUGGGGGUUUUGCUGGCCUUUGGUCGGCUCCUCUCAAACGGAUCAGCUUUCCAGUGUUUGGUGGCGUCACGGGUGUGAUACCUAUCUACGCCUGUGGUUUUCUGCCAGAUAACCUUCAGCGAUGGAGGUUCGCUGGGGCUCAUAAAUGUCUCUCUUCAGUGGAGACAGCUUUUUGGACGUUUGAUCUCAAAUCAGGUAGGACUACCCGCUGAACUUAAGCAUAUCAAUAAGCGGAGGA
RNAcentral lists this unclassified non-coding RNA (402 nucleotides) under soil metagenome. RNAcentral describes it as "partial contains 5.8S ribosomal RNA, internal transcribed spacer 2, and large subunit ribosomal RNA". The stretch from base 1 to 121 matches the Rfam family "5.8S ribosomal RNA", at positions 35 to 154 of the family's 154-position model. The record is from RNAcentral.